AGUUGCAAGUGCAGUGGCUUCGCGAAUGGAUCUUCAUCUCCGAGCUGUUGGGAAUUUUGAGAAGAUUGGCUGGCAUAUAUGAAUUUCGUCCCGUCUCUCUAUCCAGCAACACAGCUUCGUCGUCCGGCGUAAUCCGGACGAAAUUAAAGCCGACGCGUGGGGGGGGGGGGGCAAGAUACUAACGAGUAAAUACUCGAGUCUCCUCUCUCGCGAAGCCUCGGGAAAAAUCUGUCGGACUCGCGAGCGAGCUACACACGACAACGGACUCUCAUCCUUGCCGAAGGCUGAUUAAUGGCACCAAACGAAUGAAAAAAAAAAGAUUCGAAAGCCAAGAGCGCGAGAUGAACACCUACGAGAUGAGGUACGAGAGAGAGAGCUGCUAUGCAGCUGCUUAAAGGAACUGUAUUAACCGCGCGAGUCGCGGCCGCCGCUCGCUGCACGAUUAGUAUAUUGUCAAGGCGCGAGGCGAUUUAUGAGCCCGUGCGAGCGAGCCGUGUUCUCCAAUGCGAGCUUGUAUGUGUGUGUGUGUUCGUACAUGUGUGCUGGAGGUUUUUAAACGAGCGAGGGAAAAAGGAGUAGGAAGGCGUAUUGAUUCGGAUGAAAAACCGUGUUACGAAAGCUUGUUAAGACACUGAAAAAUCGGCGCGUGGAAGGUUUCUCAAAUUCUUCUCGUUUCCCUUUUUUUUCUCUCUUUCUCUCUCGCGUGAAGUUCGUGGAGAUUUUAUCGUGAAAUGCUAAAAAUUCCGUACAAUUAAUCUAUGGAUCUUACGAAACUGUGCUUCACGCGUAAUGGAUCGCUUUUAAUCGGAUUUCAGAACUGUACUAAUGUUAGAAACUGUGCGAAUCAUUUUUUUACUCGUUCCGAGACCACAGUCUUCGCACAGCUGCAAUCGGUUACAGAGAGAACACAAGAAGAACGUUAAACUUUUCUCCCGCGAUUUGCAUAAGCGUACGUUAUCAUUACAAUUUUAUAAAGCACUUUCCAAAGAACAGCUGCCGCGGUCGCGAGUAGAUAACAAUAAUUACGAACGAAUUCCACAAGGUACACUCAAAAAAUUAAAUAAAAUACUUCCCGCUCGACGCAGGCGUGCGUACCAUAACUUUCCGGCCAGUUAGCCAUGCACCGGCGCUGCAGCGACUGCAAAACUGUCAAAAAUAAGCAGCCCCGCGCUAUAUAGCUGCUCGCAGCGAGUAAAUUGCACAAGUCGAGCGGUGUGUAGCUAAUAAGCCCCGAGUGCGAAAGCCAUAUUAAAUAAUAACAGGAAUCCGCGCUCGCGCAGGCUAUAUACUCGCGCUUCCAGCGUCGCGUUAUAAAAGCCAUAAGAAGAAAUUUCCGAGUGUAGGGCUCUCUCUAUUGCAUCGAGAGCCGCCGACACGCGAAGCUCGUUUCCCUCUUCCCUCUCUCUUAUUCUCUCGAUAAGUCGAUCAAUAUGCAAAUAAACGCUCGAGCUGCUCUGCGAAAUUCACGGAUCGACAGGAAGGAGCCGUAUUAUACGUUGCGCGCACAGCUACACACACACACACACACUCAUGCAGAGCUCAAAUUAUGUUAUCUCCUUACGCAUCGAGUGAGCGCGCGACGCUGCGCACGGCAAAACUGAUUGCAGGCCCAGAUUUAUGGCGUGUUCAUUAAGAAAGCCGUGCGCGCGUUUAUGCCCGGUAGAAGAAGAAGUCUGUAUAGAGUGAUUAUGCACGGAAUAUAAGCUGGCCCUGUCGAUCGCGCGCGGCGCGUCCUUUAAUUGCAUUAUCUCGCUCGCUCGCAACUUUCUCGCCCUUUUCUUGUUAAUCGGACUGUUAUUAUAGCCGGUGAGCACGCGCUGCCCGCGAGUAGCGCCCUUUAAUUCGCCGCUGCUCUGUGGCGGUUUAUGCACUUGCGAAUUUCCGGCGAAGCGGAGAACCCGCCGCGAGAUGUACUUAUAUGCUUACGCGCGGUAUUUUCGUGCGUACGGCAGCUUUCCGCUGAAAAUAUAUUGGUGUGCGUAGUGCGCACGAAGAAGCGAGAGAGAAAGAGCCGAUCGUUAUCGCCUUUUUACGCGUUUCUUAAUUAAGAUGUCAAAUUCGCAGCUGAAGUUAAAAUGCGCGUAAUGUUGAUGUGCUGUUUUUUUAUAUCUGUCGUUCGUGUGUAGGAUGUGGAGCACGACAGUCGUGAGAGUAAUAUUUCGCGUGGCAGCUGCUAACGACGAGUGAUAUAAAUUUUAAUUAAAAUUCAAAUUGAAAGGGAGGAAUCGAUGCGAGGAGAGUGCGGAAGGUGCUGUUCGAAUUUGACUCGAAUUACGAGUAAGCAACGAGUCUAUAAAAAUACUAUGUGAUAUCCUUAAAGUUCCGUGUAAUAAUAAUGAAAUUCGAUGAAUAUAACCGAUAUAUUUUUGCUCAUUACAAGCGACGACCAAGCAUUCAAUUUCAGCAGCGCUACCUGCAGCAGCCGAUCGAUAUAGCGCGUAGAGAUUUAUGACGAGUCGUAAAUUUAGCGCGAUCAAAGUGUGAUUUUGUAAAUUGCGUCGAGCACCGCAGAAGCGAACGCGCGGCGGUAAUGUCGAAAUCCGUGUGCCGUCGGCAUCGGCUCAGAAUUCCGUUGAGCGGCGCGCGCGGCUGCAGAGCACACACGGCGAGCGAUUAAACUGUUUCUGCCCUGGUAAUUGGAGCUUUGCUCUUUUUUGGCUGUGUGCUUCAAAAAUUUGAUUGUUUUCGUUGUACUUGAAAUUGUGAUUUUUUAUGUGAUUUAUGUAGUGUACUCGUGGAGUACGAGACUCUGUGGUAUAAUAUAAAUAUUUUUGAAUAAAGUUGGAAA
RNAcentral lists this long non-coding RNA (2788 nucleotides) under Nasonia vitripennis (jewel wasp). RNAcentral describes it as "uncharacterized LOC107981078". The record is from RNAcentral. Lineage: Eukaryota; Metazoa; Arthropoda; Insecta; Hymenoptera; Pteromalidae.